GACGAACGCUGGCGGAGUGCUUAACACAUGCAAGUCGAACGGAAAGGCCCUGCUUUUGUGGGGUGCUCGAGUGGCGAACGGGUGAGUAACACGUGAGUAACCUGCCCUUGACUUUGGGAUAACUUCAGGAAACUGGGGCUAAUACCGGAUAGGAGCUCCUGCUGCAUGGUGGGGGUUGGAAAGUUUCGGCGGUUGGGGAUGGACUCGCGGCUUAUCAGCUUGUUGGUGGGGUAGUGGCUUACCAAGGCUUUGACGGGUAGCCGGCCUGAGAGGGUGACCGGCCACAUUGGGACUGAGAUACGGCCCAGACUCCUACGGGAGGCAGCAGUGGGGAAUAUUGCACAAUGGGCGGAAGCCUGAUGCAGCAACGCCGCGUGCGGGAUGACGGCCUUCGGGUUGUAAACCGCUUUCGCCUGUGACGAAGCGUGAGUGACGGUAAUGGGUAAAGAAGCACCGGCUAACUACGUG
This 468-nucleotide ribosomal RNA is filed under the name uncultured bacterium. Its description in RNAcentral is "partial 16S ribosomal RNA". It matches the Rfam family "Bacterial small subunit ribosomal RNA", at positions 28 to 507 of the family's 1533-position model. The record is from RNAcentral.